This 105-nucleotide small nuclear RNA is filed under the name Olea europaea subsp. europaea. The record is from RNAcentral. Lineage: Eukaryota; Viridiplantae; Streptophyta; Magnoliopsida; Lamiales; Oleaceae.
AUCCAUCCCUUCGGGUAUAUAUGAAAAUUGGAACGAUACGAAUAAAAUUAGCUUGACCCCUAGGCAAGAAUAUCACGCACAAAUCCAGAAAUGGUACUAUACACC